RNAcentral lists this ribosomal RNA (358 nucleotides) under uncultured bacterium. RNAcentral describes it as "bacterial SSU rRNA". It matches the Rfam family "Bacterial small subunit ribosomal RNA", at positions 330 to 686 of the family's 1533-position model. The record is from RNAcentral.
UCCAGACUCCUACGGGAGGCAGCAGUGAGGAAUAUUGGUCAAUGGGCGGGAGCCUGAACCAGCCAAGUCGCGUGAGGGAAGACGGUCCUAUGGAUUGUAAACCUCUUUAGGCGGGGAGCAAUGCCGGGCACGCGUGCCCGGAGGGAGAGUACCCGCAGAAUAAGCAUCGGCUAACUCCGUGCCAGCAGCCGCGGUAAUACGGAGGAUGCGAGCGUUAUCGGGAAUUAUUGGUUUGAAAGGGUGCGUAGGGGGCCGUAGAAGUGGGGGGAAAAACCCGGGGGCAAACCCGGGGAAGCCGUUGAAACUGUCGGACUAGAGACGGCGAGAAGGGCGCGGAAUGCGCGGUGUAGAGGUGAAA